AGUGAACGCUGGCGGUAGGCCUAACACAUGCAAGUCGAACGGCAGCACAGUAAGAGCUUGCUCUUACGGGUGGCGAGUGGCGGACGGGUGAGGAAUACAUCGGAAUCUACUUUUUCGUGGGGGAUAACGUAGGGAAGCUUACGCUAAUACCGCAUACGACCUACGGGUGAAAGCAGGGGAUCUUCGGACCUUGCGCGAUUGAAUGAGCCGAUGUCGGAUUAGCUAGUUGGCGGGGUAAAGGCCCACCAAGGCGACGAUCCGUAGCUGGUCUGAGAGGAUGAUCAGCCACACUGGAACUGAGACACGGUCCAGACUCCUACGGGAGGCAGCAGUGGGGAAUUUUGGACAAUGGGCGCAAGCCUGAUCCAGCCAUACCGCGUGGGUGAAGAAGGCCUUCGGUUUGUAAAGCCCUUUUGUUGGGAAAGAAAAGCAGCAGGUUAAUACCCCGCUGUUCUGACGGUACCCAAAGAAUAAGCACCGGCUAACUUCGUG
Molecule: ribosomal RNA, 492 nt
Filed under: uncultured bacterium
Lineage: Bacteria
Description: partial 16S ribosomal RNA
Rfam family: Bacterial small subunit ribosomal RNA
Source: RNAcentral